This 402-nucleotide ribosomal RNA is filed under the name uncultured bacterium. RNAcentral describes it as "bacterial SSU rRNA". It matches the Rfam family "Bacterial small subunit ribosomal RNA", at positions 355 to 774 of the family's 1533-position model. The record is from RNAcentral.
UGGGGAAUCUUGGACAAUGGGGGCAACCCUGAUCCAGCGAUGCCGCGUGAGCGAAGAAGGCCUUAGGGUUGUAAAGCUCUUUCGCCCGCGACGAUGAUGACGGUAGCGGGAGAAUAAGCCCCGGCUAACUCCGUGCCAGCAGCCGCGGUAAUACGGAGGGGGCUAGCGUUGUCCGGAAUUACUGGGCGUAAAGCGCGCGUAGGCGGUCCACCAAGUCGGGGGUGAAAGCCCGGGGCUCAACCCCGGAAUGUCCUCCGAGACUGUUGGACUGGAUUUCGGGGGAGGAGAGCGGAAUUCCCAGUGUAGAGGUGAAAUUCGUAGAUAUUGGGAAGAACACCGGUGGCGAAGGCGGCUCUCUGGCCCGCAACUGACGCCGAGGCGCGAAAGCGUGGGGAGCAAACA